RNAcentral lists this ribosomal RNA (580 nucleotides) under uncultured Glomus. RNAcentral's name for it is "eukaryotic LSU rRNA". It matches the Rfam family "Eukaryotic large subunit ribosomal RNA", at positions 204 to 636 of the family's 3401-position model. The record is from RNAcentral. Lineage: Eukaryota; Fungi; Glomeromycota; Glomeromycetes; Glomerales; Glomeraceae.
CAUGGAGGGUGAGAAUCCCGUUCGGUUGAUCAUUUGCGUUUUACGAUACGCUUUCUAAGAGUCAAGUUGUUUGGGAUUGCAGCUUAAAAUGGGAGGUAAAUUUCUCCUAAGGCUAAAUAACGGCGAGAGACCGAUAGCGAACAAGUACCGUGAGGGAAAGAUGAAAAGAACUUUGAAAAGAGAGUUAAACAGUACGUGAAAUUGUUGAAAGGGAAACGAUUGAAGCCAGUCGUACCUUCGGGUAAUCAGCCUUUCGGGUGCGAUUCUGUGGAGUGUGAGGAGCUUAACACCUUCAUGCUUUGCAUAUUUGUGCUCUUGGGUGUACUUGCCCGUGUGGUUGGUUAACAUCAAUUUUGGUUAUCAUAAAAUGAUUGGAGGAAUGUAGCUUCGAUCUCGUAUUGAAGUGUUAUAGCCUUCGGUAGAUGUGAUGAUCGAGAUUGAGGAUUGCAACGGAUACCCUUCGGGGCUACCUGUCUGGUCUCUGAUCGUUGCUCUGGUGCCGAAAGCUUGCUUACGGUUAUCAAAGUCGAUGGUCAAUAGGUUAGAACGGGUUAAAUUCGUUAAGGAUGUUGACGUAAUG